UGGGCGUAAAGGGCUCGCAGGCGGUUUCUUAAGUCUGAUGUGAAAGCCCCCGGCUCAACCGGGGAGGGUCAUUGGAAACUGGGAAACUUGAGUGCAGAAGAGGAGAGUGGAAUUCCACGUGUAGCGGUGAAAUGCGUAGAGAUGUGGAGGAACACCAGUGGCGAAGGCGACUCUCUGGUCUGUAACUGACGCUGAGGAGCGAAAGCGUGGGGAGCGAACAGGAUUAGAUACCCUGGUAGUCCACGCCGUAAACGAUGAGUGCUAAGUGUUAGGGGGUUUCCGCCCCUUAGUGCUGCAGCUAACGCAUUAAGCACUCCGCCUGGGGAGUACGGUCGCAAGACUGAAACUCAAAGGAAUUGACGGGGGCCCGCACAAGCGGUGGAGCAUGUGGUUUAAUUCGAAGCAACGCGAAGAACCUUACCAGGUCUUGACAUCCUCUGACAACCCUAGAGAUAGGGCUUUCCCUUCGGGGACAGAGUGACAGGUGGUGCAUGGUUGUCGUCAGCUCGUGUCGUGAGAUGUUGGGUUAAGUCCCGCAACGAGCGCAACCCUUGAUCUUAGUUGCCAGCAUUCAGUUGGGCACUCUAAGGUGACUGCCGGUGACAAACCGGAGGAAGGUGGAGAUGACGUCAAAUCAUCAU
Molecule: ribosomal RNA, 641 nt
Filed under: Bacillus pumilus
Lineage: Bacteria; Bacillati; Bacillota; Bacilli; Caryophanales; Bacillaceae
Description: bacterial SSU rRNA
Rfam family: Bacterial small subunit ribosomal RNA
Source: RNAcentral